UGGGGAAUAUUGGACAAUGGGCGCAAGCCUGAUCCAGCAAUGCCGCGUGAGUGACGAAGGCCUUAGGGUUGUAAAGCUCUUUUACCAAGGAUGAUAAUGACAGUACCUGGAGAAUAAGCUCCGGCUAACUCUGUGCCAGCAGCCGCGGUAAUACGGAGGGAGCUAGCGUUGUUCGGAAUUACUGGGCGUAAAGCGCGCGUAGGCGGCUAUUCAAGUCGGGGGUGAAAGCCCGGGGCUCAACCCCGGAACU
RNAcentral lists this ribosomal RNA (250 nucleotides) under uncultured bacterium. Its description in RNAcentral is "partial 16S ribosomal RNA". It matches the Rfam family "Bacterial small subunit ribosomal RNA", at positions 355 to 622 of the family's 1533-position model. The record is from RNAcentral.